Molecule: ribosomal RNA, 452 nt
Filed under: uncultured bacterium
Lineage: Bacteria
Description: bacterial SSU rRNA
Rfam family: Bacterial small subunit ribosomal RNA
Source: RNAcentral
GAUUAACGUUGGCAGUGUGCCUAACACAUGCAAGUCGAGCGAUAUAGCGGCAGACGAGAGAGUAAUAAUAAGGAACUUACCCCUAAGUGGAGGAUAGCCCACCGAAAGGUGGGGUAAUCCUGCAUAACAUCGAGAGAUCAAAGCCUUCGGGCGCUUAGGGAGAGGCCUUAUGCCUAUCAGCUAGUUGGUGAGGUAAAUGCUUACCAAGGCGAUGACGGGUAGCUGGCCUGAGAGGGUGACCAGCCUCGAUGGGACUGAGACACGGCCCAUACUCCUACGGGAGGCAGCAGUUGGGGAUUUUGCACAAUGGGCGAAAGCCUGAUGCAGCAACACUGCGUGAAGGAUGAAGGUUCUCGGAUCGUAAACUUCUUUUAUCAGGGAAUAAUCUUGAAGGUACCUGAUGAAUAAGCACCGGCUAACUACGUGCCAGCAGCCGCGGUAAGACGUAGCGU